RNAcentral lists this ribosomal RNA (504 nucleotides) under uncultured bacterium. RNAcentral's name for it is "partial 16S ribosomal RNA". It matches the Rfam family "Bacterial small subunit ribosomal RNA", at positions 29 to 523 of the family's 1533-position model. The record is from RNAcentral.
AUUGAACGCUGGCGGCAGGCCUAACACAUGCAAGUCGAACGGUAGCACAGAGAGCUUGCUCUCGGGUGACGAGUGGCGGACGGGUGAGUAACGUCUGGGAAACUGCCCGAUGGAGGGGGAUAACUACUGGAAACGGUAGCUAAUACCGCAUAACGUCGCAAGACCAAAGUGGGGGACCUUCGGGCCUCACACCAUCGGAUGUGCCCAGAUGGGAUUAGCUAGUCGGUGGGGUAAUGGCUCACCUAGGCGACGAUCCCUAGCUGGUCUGAGAGGAUGAGCAGCAACGCUGGAAAUGGGACACGGUCCAGAGUCGUACGGGAGGCAGCAGUGGGGAAUAUUGCACGAUGGGCGCAAGCCUGCUGGGGCCAUGCCGGGUGUAUGAAGAAGGCCUUCGGGUUGUAAAGUACUUUCAGCGGGGAGGAAGGCGGUGAAGUUAAUAACUUGACCGAUUGACGUUACCCGCAGAAGAAGCACCGGCUAACUCCGUGCCAGCAGCCGCCGUAA